Molecule: ribosomal RNA, 256 nt
Filed under: uncultured bacterium
Lineage: Bacteria
Description: partial 16S ribosomal RNA
Rfam family: Bacterial small subunit ribosomal RNA
Source: RNAcentral
UGGCGGACGGGUGAGUAAUGUCUGGGAAACUGCCUGAUGGAGGGGGAUAACUACUGGAAACGGUAGCUAAUACCGCAUAACGUCGCAAGACCAAAGAGGGGGACCUUCGGGCCUCUUGCCAUCGGAUGUGCCCAGAUGGGAUUAGCUAGUAGGUGGGGUAACGGCUCNCCUAGGCGACGAUCCCUAGCUGGUCUGAGAGGAUGACCAGCCACACUGGAACUGAGACACGGUCCAGACUCCUACGGGAGGCAGCAUG